GAUGAACGCUGGCGGCGUGCCUAAUACAUGCAAGUCGAGCGAACGGACGAGAAGCUUGCUUCUCUGAUGUUAGCGGCGGACGGGUGAGUAACACGUGGAUAACCUACCUAUAAGACUGGGAUAACUUCGGGAAACCGGAGCUAAUACCGGAUAAUAUUUUGAACCGCAUGGUUCAAAAGUGAAAGACGGUCUUGCUGUCACUUAUAGAUGGAUCCGCGCUGCAUUAGCUAGUUGGUAAGGUAACGGCUUACCAAGGCAACGAUGCAUAGCCGACCUGAGAGGGUGAUCGGCCACACUGGAACUGAGACACGGUCCAGACUCCUACGGGAGGCAGCAGUAGGGAAUCUUCCGCAAUGGGCGAAAGCCUGACGGAGCAACGCCGCGUGAGUGAUGAAGGUCUUCGGAUCGUAAAACUCUGUUAUUAGGGAAGAACAUAUGUGUAAGUAACUGUGCACAUCUUGACGGUACCUAAUCAGAAAGCCACGGCUAACUACGUGCCAGCAGCCGCGGUAAUACGUAGGUGGCAAGCGUUAUCCGGAAUUAUUGGGCGUAAAGCGCGCGUAGGCGGUUUUUUAAGUCUGAUGUGAAAGCCCACGGCUCAACCGUGGAGGGUCAUUGGAAACUGGAAAACUUGAGUGCAGAAGAGGAAAGUGGAAUUCCAUGUGUAGCGGUGAAAUGCGCAGAGAUAUGGAGGAACACCAGUGGCGAAGGCGACUUUCUGGUCUGUAACUGACGCUGAUGUGCGAAAGCGUGGGGAUCAAACAGGAUUAGAUACCCUGGUAGUCCACGCCGUAAACGAUGAGUGCUAAGUGUUAGGGGGUUUCCGCCUCUUAGUGCUGCAGCUAACGCAUUAAGCACUCCGCCUGGGGAGUACGACCGCAAGGUUGAAACUCAAAGGAAUUGACGGGGACCCGCACAAGCGGUGGAGCGUGUGGUUUAAUUCGAAGCAACGCGAAGAACCUUACCAAAUCUUGACAUCCUUUGACAACUCUAGAGAUAGAGCCUUCCCCUUCGGGGGACAAAGUGACAGGUGGUGCAUGGUUGUCGUCAGCUCGUGUCGUGAGAUGUUGGGUUAAGUCCCGCAACGAGCGCAACCCUUAAGCUUAGUUGCCAUCAUUAAGUUGGGCACUCUAAGUUGACUGCCGGUGACAAACCGGAGGAAGGUGGGGAUGACGUCAAAUCAUCAUGCCCCUUAUGAUUUGGGCUACACACGUGCUACAAUGGACAAUACAAAGGGCAGCGAAACCGCGAGGUCAAGCAAAUCCCAUAAAGUUGUUCUCAGUUCGGAUUGUAGUCUGCAACUCGACUACAUGAAGCUGGAAUCGCUAGUAAUCGUAGAUCAGCAUGCUACGGUGAAUACGUUCCCGGGUCU
This 1372-nucleotide ribosomal RNA is filed under the name uncultured bacterium. RNAcentral describes it as "bacterial SSU rRNA". It matches the Rfam family "Bacterial small subunit ribosomal RNA", at positions 28 to 1381 of the family's 1533-position model. The record is from RNAcentral.